GUCCUGGCUCAGGAUGAACGCUAGCGACAGGCUUAACACAUGCAAGUCAAGGGGCAGCACAGGUAGCAAUACCGGGUGGCGACCGGCGCACGGGUGAGUAACGCGUAUGCAACUUACCUAUCAGAGGGGGAUAACCCGGCGAAAGUCGGACUAAUACCGCAUGAAGCAGGGGUCCCGCAUGGGGAUAUUUGCUAAAGAUUCAUCGCUGAUAGAUAGGCAUGCGUUCCAUUAGG
Molecule: ribosomal RNA, 233 nt
Filed under: uncultured bacterium
Lineage: Bacteria
Description: partial 16S ribosomal RNA
Rfam family: Bacterial small subunit ribosomal RNA
Source: RNAcentral